This 468-nucleotide ribosomal RNA is filed under the name uncultured bacterium. Its description in RNAcentral is "partial 16S ribosomal RNA". It matches the Rfam family "Bacterial small subunit ribosomal RNA", at positions 28 to 507 of the family's 1533-position model. The record is from RNAcentral.
GACGAACGCUGGCGGCGUGCUUAACACAUGCAAGUCGAACGGAAAGGCCCUGCUUUUGUGGGGUGCUCGAGUGGCGAACGGGUGAGUAACACGUGAGUAACCUGCCCUUGACUUUGGGAUAACUUCAGGAAACUGGGGCUAAUACCGGAUAGGAGCUACUGCUGCAUGGUGGGGGUUGGAAAGUUUCGGCGGUUGGGGAUGGAAUCGCGGCUUAUCAGCUUGUUGGUGGGGUAGUGGCUUACCAAGGCUUUGACGGGUAGCCGGCCUGGGAGGGUGACCGGCCACAUCGGGACUGAGAUACGGCCCAGACUCCAACGGGAGGCAGCAGUGGAGAAUAUUACACAAUGGGCGGAAGCCUGAUGCAGCAACGCCGCGUGCGGGAUGACGGCCUUCGGGUUGUAAACCGCUUUCGCCUGUGACGAAGCGUGAGUGACGGUAAUGGGUAAAGAAGCACCGGCUAACUACGUG